RNAcentral lists this unclassified non-coding RNA (320 nucleotides) under plant metagenome. RNAcentral describes it as "partial contains 5.8S ribosomal RNA, internal transcribed spacer 2, and large subunit ribosomal RNA". The stretch from base 1 to 105 matches the Rfam family "5.8S ribosomal RNA", at positions 50 to 154 of the family's 154-position model. The record is from RNAcentral.
GAAAUGCGAUAAGUAAUGUGAAUUGCAGAAUUCAGUGAAUCAUCGAAUCUUUGAACGCACCUUGCGCUCCUUGGUAUUCCUUGGAGCAUGCCUGUUCGAGCGUCAUUACAACCCUCAGGCCCCCGGGCCUGGCGUUGGGGAUCGGCGGAAGCCCCCUGCGGGCACAACGCCGUCCCCCAAAUACAGUGGCGGUCCCGCCGCAGCUUCCAUUGCGUAGUAGCUAACACCUCGCAACUGGAGAGCGGCGCGGCCACGCCGUAAAACACCCAACUUCUGAAUGUUGACCUCGAAUCAGGUAGGAAUACCCGCUGAACUUAAGC